AGCCAGCUUUUGCUGAGUGCUUUGGAAAUGAAAAAUGGCUACAGAAACUAGCCUGUUUUGCAGACGGUUUUCAUCACAUGAACACAUGGACAAGUCUCUGAAAGGUUCAGGAGAAAAUUUUUUUUCUUAAAGUGACAAGAGUCUUAGAUCUAAAAGGAAACUGACUUGCCACCUUGCCAGAAGAAUCCUUGAAAUGUUUCUGCAGCCACUUGGACUUGAAAAUGAAGGGUACAACUCUCAAAUCUUCUCUAACCCAACUGGAGGAACCACAAGACCCAAUGAAAUAGCAUUUUCUCUCCUUUUCCCAGCACUAGUAUAUAACUGUAUGAGGAACCCUUGUCUAUGAAUCUGCUCAGCUUGAAAUUUUGUCUCUGAAGGAAGAGAAUGAACUCAGCCCUAGUCUGACAGUCCUGAAUUUCUGUGAAAUAAGAGUAUUCUUCAAGUUAAUGCUCACAUUCACAUACCAUGAGGGUUCUCUGCAGGGGUUUCCUGAAUCUGAAAGUUUUUUCAAGGCCUAUUUUUGGGUAAAACAGUUGAAAAGGCAGACACCAACAAAGUCUGCAAAUUAAACUGUCCAGAUUAAGAAUAUUAAGAAGCUGUAAAGUUAGCUUGUAGAAAUGGGCAUAUCCUUAAGUUUUAAAGUUAGGAAUUGCUAAAAAUGUUAGGGUUCCUGCACAAGUGGCUAUGUUUAUUUAAUGGCUAGUGAACAUGGGAAUAUAUUUUUAUCCUAGCUAGUGGUUCUAUUUGGCAAACUAGACUAGAAUGAUUUGAGAGGGAUAAAGAGAAUAGGCAGGACCUUCCUUCUGUAGCUUUACAUAUUUCAAAUGUUAAUUCUUAAUGACAUUGAAGUUACUUUGAAAUGAUUGAUAAGAGGAUUAUUAAUAUCAUUUAGGGGAAUAGGGAGGAUAGGAUUUUGGUGCCUUCAGCAGACUUGCUCCAAGACAAAGAUUCUAUUUUGAUAGUGCAAGACAAAAGGACUUGGAAAAAAACUGGCCAUAUGCCUACAGAACAUACAACUCUGUGGAACUAAAUUGUUUUUACUUUGUGAAAGCUGCUACUUUACGGAAAGACUUUGAUUUUAUAGUUUUGUUUUUAAUUGCCUUUUAUAUUUAUUUGUAUUUGGUAAGACUCAGUUGUUAUACAAACUAUUCUUUCCCAGUUACAAAAUCCUGUGUUCGGUUGUAACCUGAACUCAUUAAAAUAGUUGUUUUCAGGUUUAUCAACUGUUUAUUUUCACUGACAUUUGAGCAUGUUAUUUUAUAAAUGACGAGAUUCCAGAGUAGGAAGUAAGUGCUUUUUAUUCCCCUUUUGUUUUUUCUUUUAAAAAAUUACGUCAGUUAAAAAAAAAAAUAAAACUACAGUCUUGUCGUUUAGAAAAUGUUUAGUUCCAUAGAGAAAAGAAUGUUAAAGUUUGUAUUUUAAAACAUGAUUCUCUAAGGUUAAACAUGGUUUUCAAAUGUUAUUUUUACUGGUAUUUUGCUUUUGGUACAGCCAAAUAUCAAGCUUGUUUUUCAUAGUUCUGAUAUUUUCAGAAAAAUCAAAAUAAAUUUGUUCCCUAAAAUUG
Molecule: long non-coding RNA, 1564 nt
Filed under: Macaca fascicularis (crab-eating macaque)
Lineage: Eukaryota; Metazoa; Chordata; Mammalia; Primates; Cercopithecidae
Description: lncRNA (ENSMFAG00000059852.1)
Source: RNAcentral